AAAUUAGCGCUGUGGAACCACCCGAUCCCAUCCCGAACUCGGAAGUGAAACGCAGCUGCGCCGAUGGUAGUGUGGCUCAAGCCAUGCGAGAGUAGGUCAUCGCCAGGG
Molecule: ribosomal RNA, 108 nt
Filed under: Stenotrophomonas maltophilia
Lineage: Bacteria; Pseudomonadati; Pseudomonadota; Gammaproteobacteria; Lysobacterales; Lysobacteraceae
Source: RNAcentral